CUCUCUGCCCAGGAUAAACCUAGAAAGGUAACAUCUGUCAGUGGAUUCUAGGAUGUGCAUCUGUAUUAGGGUGUCAUUCAGCACGGAAGCCCAGCUGCUCAAUGCUCACUUGGAUCCAGGCCAAGUCUACACUACAAAGCACUAGGUAAGGCUGCAGAUGAAUCUGGGAGAAGAGGAAGAGCUGAAGCCCACCCCUGGACACUGCAGGGAGGAGCCACUGCUUUGCCCCUCCACCACCUCUGCCCAGGAGGCAGUCAUGGCUACAGGAAAACCCCCUGGGGCCACAUGCAGCCACGGUGGCUGCACUUGAGAAAUGCUGGCUUUUAAGACCAUUUUAGCAGUCAGCCACAGUAAUGUUAUGUUGCUUAUUGUCUCUCUCAUGUUGUACUUAUUUGCUUGUACUUCGUAUGGGUGGGUUUUCACCUCCUUCUACGUAUUAUGCAAUGCUUGGGGUAGGCUAAGCAAGAUACUGAGUUUCCAGAAAUGCAACUUGAUUGUGUGCAAAGAAACAGGCAACAAAACCAAAGAACAAAAACACAAGAUUAAAAACCUUUUAUCAACAUUA
Mauremys reevesii (Reeves's turtle) is the source of this 565-nucleotide long non-coding RNA. RefSeq lists it as uncharacterized. The record is from RefSeq and is a predicted model, not a curated record. NCBI's taxonomy places the organism in Eukaryota, Metazoa, Chordata, Testudines, Geoemydidae. The transcript has 3 exons.